GCAAAAGGGGUUAUCAUACUACCUGAUGUAUGGACUUUUACACCAGGCUUUUACCCUGCACGAGCUGGCCAACUUGAGGGGAACUGAAGUGGGCAAACCUCACCCUGUCCAUGAACAAGAAAGCUGGAUUCGUUGAGAGAGUAUCAUUAAAGCUGAAAUCCAGCAUGAAACCAGGGAGGUGAAGGCCAUCGCACAGGCCAUGUGCCGACUUUUCACUCCCCACCAGCUUGUGACUUGCUCCAUGAAGGGAGCAACAACUACAACGGGGUCACCAAGACCAAGCCUCCCCGCUGCUGAGAGAAAUGCAAUCAUUGAUGUCAUAGCCAAAACCUUUGACAAGCCUCUGGUGGAUGUUGAAGAAAAGAUGAGAGGUUGUUUAAGGCGUCUGCGGCUGAUGCACAAGUAGACUGAAGUCUUUGUAAAUAACAUGUGC
Molecule: long non-coding RNA, 433 nt
Organism: Dreissena polymorpha
Lineage: Eukaryota; Metazoa; Mollusca; Bivalvia; Myida; Dreissenidae
Exons: 3
Source: RefSeq, a predicted model, not a curated record